This is a long non-coding RNA of Etheostoma spectabile (orangethroat darter), 304 nucleotides long. RefSeq lists it as uncharacterized. The transcript is spliced from 3 exons. The record is from RefSeq and is a predicted model, not a curated record. Lineage: Eukaryota; Metazoa; Chordata; Actinopteri; Perciformes; Percidae.
UAGUUGGUAAUUCCCAGCAAUCACCACAGCAGUUAUGGCUUCAGCAUCUCGUUCAAGGCUCAUGUCAAAGAAACCAAGAAACCGUUCACGUACCAUGCCUUUUUCAUUUACGUAGCGGAUUAUGCCAGUCAAUUGGCACUUGCAUGACAUGUCUGUGGUGUCAUCCCCGUCCACUGCUAUGAAUGGCGCUGUGUUUGUUUCCUGGUGCAUUUCUUCCUGAAUAACAUGAGCAGGGCUUGCUAUUAUGUCAUUCUGAAUCGUAUUUGACAUACCUGUAAAUGUUAAAGCAGAUGUUAAGUGCUGU